RNAcentral lists this ribosomal RNA (406 nucleotides) under uncultured bacterium. RNAcentral describes it as "partial 16S ribosomal RNA". It matches the Rfam family "Bacterial small subunit ribosomal RNA", at positions 30 to 526 of the family's 1533-position model. The record is from RNAcentral.
AUUGAACGCUGGCGUCAGGCCUAACACAUGCAAGUCGAACGAGUGGCGGACGGGUGAGUAAUGUCUGGGACACUGCCCGAUGGAGGGGGAUAACUACUGGAAACGGUAGCUAAUACCUCAUACCAUCGGAUGUGCCCAGAUGGGAUUAGCUAGUAGGUGGGGUAACGGCUCACCUAGGCGACGAUCCCUAGCUGGUCUGAGAGGAUGACCAGCCACACGUGAAAUGAGAAAAGGUCCAAACGCCUACGGGAGGCAGUAGGGGAGCAGAUUGAACAACGGGCGAAAGCCAGCAGAAUCCAUGCCGCGUGUAUGUAGAAGUACUAAGGUUUGCAAAGUACUUUCGGUGAGGCGGCGUUCCAUUUAGAAGCAGCACCUGCUAACGCCGUGCCAGCAGCCGCGGUAAUAC